GAUGAACGCUAGCUACAGGCUUAACACAUGCAAGUCGAGGGGAAACGACAUCGAAAGCUUGCUUUUGAUGGGCGUCGACCGGCGCACGGGUGAGUAACGCGUAUCCAACCUGCCCAUCACUUGGGAAUAACCUUGCGAAAGUAAGACUAAUACCCAAUGAUAUCCCACGAAGGCAUCGGAAUGGGAUUAAAGAUUUAUCGGUGAUGGAUGGGGAUGCGUCUGAUUAGCUUGUUGGCGGGGUAACGGCCCACCAAGGCAACGAUCAGUAGGGGUUCUGAGAGGAAGGUCCCCCACAUUGGAACUGAGACACGGACCAAACUCCUACGGGAGGCAGCAGAGAGGAAUAUUGGUCAAUGGGCGAGAGCCUGAACAAGCCAAGUAGCGUGAAGGAAGACGGCCCUAUGGGUUGUAAACUGCUUUUAUAAGGGAAUAAAGUGUGUCACGUGUGACUUUUUGCAUGUACCUUAUGAAUAAGGACCGGCUAAUUCCGUG
RNAcentral lists this ribosomal RNA (492 nucleotides) under uncultured bacterium. Its description in RNAcentral is "partial 16S ribosomal RNA". It matches the Rfam family "Bacterial small subunit ribosomal RNA", at positions 28 to 507 of the family's 1533-position model. The record is from RNAcentral.